RNAcentral lists this ribosomal RNA (506 nucleotides) under uncultured bacterium. RNAcentral's name for it is "partial 16S ribosomal RNA". It matches the Rfam family "Bacterial small subunit ribosomal RNA", at positions 30 to 523 of the family's 1533-position model. The record is from RNAcentral.
AUUGAACGCUGGCGGCAGGCCUAACACAUGCAAGUCGAACGGUAACAGGAAACAGCUUGCUGUUUCGCUGACGAGUGGCGGACGGGUGAGUAAUGUCUGGGAAACUGCCUGAUGGAGGGGGAUAACUACUGGAAACGGUAGCUAAUACCGCAUAACGUCGCAAGACCAAAGCGGGGGACCUUCGGGCCUCUUGCCAUCGGAUGUGCCCAGAUGGGAUUGGCUUGUUGGUGGGGUAACGGCUCACCAAGGCGACGAUCCCUAGCUGGUCUGAGAGGAUGACCAGCCACACUGGAACUGAGACACGGUCCAGACUCCUACGGGAGGCAGCAGUGGGGAAUAUUGCACAAUGGGCGCAAGCCUGAUGCAGCCAUGCCGCGUGUAUGAAGAAGGCCUUCGGGUUGUAAAGUACUUUCAGCGGGGAGGAAGGGAGUAAGGUUAAUACCUUUACUCAUUGACGUUACCCGCAGAAGAAGCACCGGCUAACUCCGUGCCAGCAGCCGCGGUAA